AUGCCUCUCAAGUUUUGGGAUGAUGCCUUCAUCACAGCUACCUUUCUUAUAAACAUGCUUCCUACCAAAGUCCUCAAUUUUGACACUCCCAGUGAAAAACUUCUCCAAAUCACACCCAAUUAUGAGCCUCUCCAUAUCUUUGGUUGUGCUUGCUGGCCCAACCUUCGUCCAUAUAACAAACAUAAACUCUCUUUCCGAUCCAAACGGUGUGUUUUUCUUGGAUAUAGUCCUUGUCACAAAGGUGUUAAAUGCCUCGAUGUGACCACUGGUCGUGUUUAUGUUUCUCGAGAUGUUGUCUUUGAUGAGAAUGUUUUCCCAUUUGCUUCUCUUAAUCCUAAUGCUGGUCGACGUCUCCGUGAAGAAAUUCUUCUUCUUCCACAAGAUAACUCAUCUUCGGUAUGUAUGGAUAGGGGUGUGCAUACUAAUGAUCAUUAUUUGCGUCUUGUUCCUGUUGUUAAUCCUCCUCAGGUUGCUGUCAAUGAAACCCCGGUUGUUUCAGCUCAAGCAUCUGGU
Molecule: ribosomal RNA, 513 nt
Filed under: Triticum aestivum (bread wheat)
Lineage: Eukaryota; Viridiplantae; Streptophyta; Magnoliopsida; Poales; Poaceae
Description: partial small subunit ribosomal RNA
Source: RNAcentral